This 497-nucleotide ribosomal RNA is filed under the name uncultured bacterium. RNAcentral's name for it is "partial 16S ribosomal RNA". It matches the Rfam family "Bacterial small subunit ribosomal RNA", at positions 28 to 507 of the family's 1533-position model. The record is from RNAcentral.
GACGAACGCUGGCGGCGUGCCUAAUACAUGCAAGUUGAGCGCUAAAGGUUGGUACUUUUCCUAACUGCUUGAGCAGCGCACGGGGGAGUAACGUGUGGGGAAUCUGCCUUGGAGCGGGGGACAACCUUCGGAAACGAAUGCUAAUACCGCAUAAACACUUUAAACACAAGUAUUAAGUUUGAAAGAUGCAUUUGCAUCACUCAAGCACGAUUGCGCGUUGUAUUAGCUAGGUGGUGGGGUAAAGGCUCACCAAGGGGAAGAUACAUAGCCGACCUGGGAGGGUGGACGGCCACAAUGGGACUGGGACACGGCCCAAACUCCUUCGGGAGGGAGCAGGAGGGAAACAUCGGAAAUGGGGGGAAGGCUGGACGAGGAACGCCGCGGGAGAGAAGGAGGGUGUCGGGUCGGAAAAGUCUGUUGGUAGGGAAGAACGUGGGUGAGGGUGGAAAGCUCAUCAAGUGACGGUAACUGCACAAGAAGGAACGGCUAACUACGUG